AAUGCCUACGGGACGCAGCAGUGGGGAAUAUUGCGCAAUGGGGGGAACCCUGACGCAGCAACGCCGCGUGCGGGAUGAAGACCUUCGGGUUGUAAACCGCUUUCAGCAGGGAAGAGACAGACGGUACCUGCAGAAGAAGCCCCGGCUAACUACGUGCCAGCAGCCGCGGUAAUACGUAGGGGGCGAGUGUUAUCCGGAUUCAUUGGGCGUAAAGCGCGCGCAGGCGGACCGUUAAGCGGGACCUCUAAUCCUGGGGCUCAACCUCAGGCCGGGUCCCGAACUGGCGGUCUCGAGUGCGUGAGGGG
This 305-nucleotide ribosomal RNA is filed under the name uncultured bacterium. RNAcentral describes it as "bacterial SSU rRNA". It matches the Rfam family "Bacterial small subunit ribosomal RNA", at positions 334 to 657 of the family's 1533-position model. The record is from RNAcentral.